UUAAACCCCCCGUCCCUUUGCAGGUUAUUCACCAAUGUCCUUCGCUGUUCUACAAACGUGAAUAUUAUUGUGGAAGCCUGAAUCGUUUCACGAAUGCAUAUUUUCAGCCCUUUCUGCUCCAAACACAGCCCAAAGUACAUCUUUAUUCGUCCACUUGCGUGCUGCGAGAGGCAACAAGAUCCAUGAGGCGAGAUGUGAAGUCGCUAUUUGGGACUUAGAGCAGCAUGAAGACGAGAACUGGACAAAAGCAGUCAGCGUGGUUUGGAGGGUGGAAGAGGAGCCCGAUGAAUUGGAAGAGCGUGCGGAGGGCUCACAUGGAGCUGAAUGGGAUGACAACAAGGAGCGGUUCCACAAGCGAAGCGAGCGGCGCGCCGAUGAGGAUCAUCCGUCCACGAGCUGCCUGAAAAUGCCGAACAGGAGGGGCCAGAGUAUUGAGCUUUGCGUUGCGCCUCGUGGUCGGGGGGGGGGAGGGGUUGUCAAUAUCUGAUGGGAACGGUGGCAGUGGUGGCCGGUGCGCUUGGAGCCGGUGGUGGAACCCGUGCCUUUGUGGGGACUCGGGCGCUCUUUGGCAAGGCGUGUUGGAGAUGGUCAGCUAGUUGUUUGGCUUGUCUGGAUCCAGAGCAACUUUGUGGCGUUUGUCAGUUGGGAAGCUGCUUUGUGGGCGACAGUGUAGGCAGGGUUGGAGGAAGGGCUCUGUCAUACCGUCAAGGAAAAACAUUUUGUCUGUGUUUCAGGGUCGCGCAGGCACCGGACCGCAUGAGGGGGGUCGCAAGAGGAUCUCGGACCAGGUUGCGCGCGUUGGACAAAGCGUCAAACUGUCAAGUAUGCGAAGCCGACAAACGUCAUUUGCUGAAUUGAGGUUUCUUUUGAAAGUGAAACAGCAGAGCCAUCGAACUCGCCGCCUUCCUGUCCAGUUGGAUCCCAGGUAAACUCCAGCCACCACCUAAAAGUCUUGGGGCGGUUUUGUCAGCGUCAACCCCCAUUUUUGACCCGAGUUUUCUGUCUCAAACGGCAUCUGAGUGCUGUACAUGAGACGGACGAACGGCCCAAGCUCCAGACGAAGAGGCUGAUGGGGCGCUUC
Hippocampus comes (tiger tail seahorse) is the source of this 1081-nucleotide long non-coding RNA. RefSeq lists it as uncharacterized. Lineage: Eukaryota; Metazoa; Chordata; Actinopteri; Syngnathiformes; Syngnathidae. The record is from RefSeq and is a predicted model, not a curated record. The transcript has 4 exons.